Molecule: long non-coding RNA, 700 nt
Organism: Mauremys reevesii (Reeves's turtle)
Lineage: Eukaryota; Metazoa; Chordata; Testudines; Geoemydidae
Exons: 4
Source: RefSeq, a predicted model, not a curated record
AUGGUUUGGAAGGUUGGAACCAAGAGUCUUCAGACUACUCUGGAGGAUCUCUGAUCCAUUCCCUGGGAGGGGAAAGGUCGGUCUGUGCUGCCCACUUCACGUGCCAGUAACGAGGUUAAACACACAGGAGUAUUCCUGGCUGGAAAGGAAGGAACUAAGGAUACAGGAACUCCUCCAAUUUUCGCAAGUUACUCUGGGCAACCUCUCUCAGAUACCGAACAUUAACAGUGCUUAACCCCCGACCGCCCCUCUUCGUACCUAGGGCUUAACCCGCCAGCGGCGCAGCGCUCCCCAGCCUGGACAACGGCCUAGCAGGAGAGACACCGAGGGGCCGGCGCUCGGCCCCAGGGAGGUUCUUCCUUCGGGGCCGCCUCUCCGAGCGCUGCGGCUGAGCCCGCUGCGGGCCCGGGGCGCGUCGCAGGCAGGUCUUUUCUUGAGUAACCCAUAAUCUGAUUGAAGGCAUCUUCCAGCAAGUGGUCUCUCCUGAUGAUUAAUCUGCACAGCAAGCGUGGGAAACCUUGCCCUACUUGGACACCACCUGACGAUGGCUGAGGAGCUGAGCAGAGAACCAAAUGAGAAGACAUGGAGAUGAGACUGAAGUGCGCUAUUUAUGGCCUUGCAGCUGACAGGCUGGAUGCAUGCGUGCAAGAUCCUGAAAGAGCGUAACUGCACUAUUGCAAAGGUCCAAGGCCACUACACA